AGUGAACGCUGGCGGUAGGCCUAACACAUGCAAGUCGAACGGCAGCACAGUAAGAGCUUGCUCUUACGGGUGGCGAGUGGCGGACGGGUGAGGAAUACAUCGGAAUCUACUUUUUCGUGGGGGGUAACGUCGGGAAACUUACGCUAAUACCGCAUACGACCUACGGGUGAAAGCAGGGGAUCUUCCGACCUUGCGCGAUUGAAUGAGCCGAUGUCGGAUUAGCUAGUUGGCGGGGUAAAGGCCCACCAAGGCGACGAUCCGUAGCUGGUCUGAGAGGAUGAUCAGCCACACUGGAACUGAGACACGGUCCAGACUCCUACGGGAGGCAGCAGUGGGGAAUAUUGGACAAUGGGCGCAAGCCUGAUCCAGCCAUACCGCGUGGGUGAAGAAGGCCUUCGGGUUGUAAAGCCCUUUUGUUGGGAAAGAAAAGCAGCAGGUUAAUACCCCGCUGUUCUGACGGUACCCAAAGAAUAAGCACCGGCUAACUUCGUG
RNAcentral lists this ribosomal RNA (492 nucleotides) under uncultured bacterium. RNAcentral's name for it is "partial 16S ribosomal RNA". It matches the Rfam family "Bacterial small subunit ribosomal RNA", at positions 29 to 507 of the family's 1533-position model. The record is from RNAcentral.